Pongo abelii (Sumatran orangutan) is the source of this 107-nucleotide small nuclear RNA. The record is from Ensembl. NCBI's taxonomy places the organism in Eukaryota, Metazoa, Chordata, Mammalia, Primates, Hominidae.
GUGCUCACUUCAGCAAUAUAUAUACUAAAACUAGAAAGAUACAGGGAAGGUUAGCAUGGCCCCUGUGCAAGGAUAACAUGCAAAUUCUUGUGGCAUUCCAUAUUUUU